CAAGAGCCGGGCGGCGGUAACGCCGCCAACCCCGCCAGGUUCGAAAGAAAGCAACGGUAACGGUUGUGCCGGGUGUCCGGCUCUUAAGA
This 89-nucleotide signal recognition particle RNA is filed under the name Desulfovibrio sp. RNAcentral describes it as "signal recognition particle sRNA small type". It matches the Rfam family "Bacterial small signal recognition particle RNA". From Rfam's summary of the family: The signal recognition particle (SRP) is a universally conserved ribonucleoprotein involved in the co-translational targeting of proteins to membranes. Archaeal SRP consists of a 7S RNA and homologues of the eukaryotic SRP19 and SRP54 proteins. The record is from RNAcentral. Lineage: Bacteria; Pseudomonadati; Thermodesulfobacteriota; Desulfovibrionia; Desulfovibrionales; Desulfovibrionaceae.